AUGCAAGUCCCCCUGGCUGCUCUGCCCCACCCUACCGAGCUCAGAGCUUCAUCUUUUCCCAGGGCCUGGGGUGGCGACCUCAGUCUUGACCUUAGACCUACACUAAAAGGAGCAAGACAGGCCCUGUCCUUUCCUCCUGGGUUCCAGCUGCUCACAGGGCAGGUGUGGGCACCAGGAAAGGGGAACAAGACAGGCCCCGGCUUUUCCUCCUGGGUUCUGGCUGCUCACAAGGCAGCUAGGGCCAGGUGGGAGGGGCAGGAAGAGCCUGAGAAGGCCCUUUUGGAGAUGCAGAAGCCGAGGUCAGGACUGACAAGAUGGAUCUGGGAGAGGAGCCUGGAAACCAGCUUGAAUGGAGAGGUAGGAGAAGGGUUGUUGCCCACCCAACAUGGACUUUGCCCCACCCCACCCCCAAGUAGAUCCAGCCCAACUUGCCCUGUGCAGACUCCAUAAUGCACCCAUCAUGGUCUUUGGAGCCUCAGAGGCACUGUGGUCUCUGGCUACAGAAGCAGCCUCUCCACCUGCCCACAACUCAGCUCAGUGGGGGAGCUGGCCGCCUUAUGCUGGGCAUCUUUGCUGUGCUGUGUGGCUGUCACCGAUACUGCUGUCCCUAGCAAGGCCCUAGGGGAGGUGGGGAUGGGGGUGCUGCUGGAGGGCAAUGUAGUCCUGCUCUUCCAUGGUCAGUGGGGCCCCCAGUCAAGGGAUCUGAAUUCCCCAUCCCCUGUGUCACAAUUAGUAUUUGGGACCUGGGAGGAAUUUUAGAUGCCGUCCAACCCCCUUCCCCAUUUAUAAAAGAGGAAACUGAGGCCCAGCGAUGGGAUAUGCCCUGGUUCAAGGUCUCUCAGAGGUCAGGAGGGCUGGAUCCACCCCAGGCAUGCUUCCACCCCACCCCGGAGGCUGAGUGUGUUGGGCAGGAUUCAAAGGAUCACCCCCAGUUAUCUUUGCCUUUGGAUUAUCUCUCUUUUGAGUGUGGGUACGACUGUGAUGAGGUGUCACUCAUGUGGUCAUGUCACAUUAUAUGGCAAAAGGACCUAGUUUAAUCACAUGAAAUCUUUAAAAGCAAAGAGCUUUCUCUGGCUGGUAGCAGAAGGGAAGUCAGGGAGAUUUGAAGCAUGAGAAGGGUCAGAGAGGGUCCUUAAAAAGCAGCCCCGGCUGACAGCCAGCAGGGAAACAGUCCUACAGCCACAAGGAACUGAAUUCUACCAGCGACAAGAAUGCACGUGGACGCAGCCUUUCCCAGAGCCACCAGCAAAGAGCCCAGGCUGGCAACACCUGGAUGUCAGCCUUGUGGGACCCUAAGCAGAGAACCAAGCUGAGCCUGCUCAGACUGCUGACCUACAGCACUGUGAGAUCAUAACUGGGUGUUGGUUUAAGGGGCAGAGUUUGUGAUAAUCUGUUAUGCAGCA
Molecule: long non-coding RNA, 1403 nt
Filed under: Piliocolobus tephrosceles (Ugandan red Colobus)
Lineage: Eukaryota; Metazoa; Chordata; Mammalia; Primates; Cercopithecidae
Description: lncRNA (ENSPTEG00000026742.1)
Source: RNAcentral